RNAcentral lists this ribosomal RNA (253 nucleotides) under uncultured bacterium. RNAcentral describes it as "partial 16S ribosomal RNA". It matches the Rfam family "Bacterial small subunit ribosomal RNA", at positions 524 to 776 of the family's 1533-position model. The record is from RNAcentral.
UACGGGGGGGGCAAGCGUUGUUCGGAAUUACUGGGCGUAAAGGGCUCGUAGGCGGCCAACUAAGUCAGACGUGAAAUCCCUCGGCUUAACCGGGGAACUGCGUCUGAUACUGGAUGGCUUGAGUCCGGUAGGGGAGCAUGGAAUUCCUGGUGUAGCAGUGAAAUGCGUAGAUAUCAGGAGGAAUACCGAUGGCGAAGGCAGGUCUCUGGGCUGACACUGACGCUCAUGCACGAAAGCGUGGGGAGCAAACAGG